RNAcentral lists this ribosomal RNA (460 nucleotides) under uncultured bacterium. Its description in RNAcentral is "partial 16S ribosomal RNA". It matches the Rfam family "Bacterial small subunit ribosomal RNA", at positions 338 to 795 of the family's 1533-position model. The record is from RNAcentral.
CCUACGGGAGGCAGCAGUGAGGAAUAUUGGUCAAUGGACGAGAGUCUGAACCAGCCAAGUAGCGUGAAGGAUGACUGCCCUAUGGGUUGUAAACUUCUUUUAUAUGGGAAUAAAACGUUCCAUGUGUGGGAUUUUGUAUGUACCAUAUGAAUAAGGAUCGGCUAACUCCGUGCCAGCAGCCGCGGUAAUACGGAGGAUCCGAGCGUUAUCCGGAUUUAUUGGGUGUAAAGGGAGCGUAGGUGGAUUGUUAAGUCAGUUGUGAAAGUUUGCGGCUCAACCGUAAAAUUGCAGUUGAAACUGGCAGUCUUGAGUACAGUAGAGGUGGGCGGAAUUCGUGGUGUAGCGGUGAAAUGCUUAGAUAUCACGAAGAACUCCGAUUGCGAAGGCAGUUCACUGGACUGCAACUGACACUGAGGCUCGAAAGUGUGGGUAUCAAACAGGAUUAGAUACCCCGGUAGUC